AACGCGAAGAACCUUACCAAGGUUUGACAUGGCCGGAAAACUCGCAGAGAUGCGGGGUCCUUCGGGGCCGGUCACAGGUGGUGCAUGGCUGUCGUCAGCUCGUGUCGUGAGAUGUUGGGUUAAGUCCCGCAACGAGCGCAACCCUCGUCCCAUGUUGCCAGCGGGUAAUGCCGGGGACUCAUGGGAGACUGCCGGGGUCAACUCGGAGGAAGGUGGGGAUGACGUCAAGUCAUCAUGCCCCUUAUGUCUUGGGCUGCAAACAUGCUACAAUGGCCGGUACAGAGCGCUGCGAGCCCGUGAGGGUGAGCGAAUCGCGGAAAGCCGGUCUCAGUUCGGAUCGGGGUCUGCAACUCGGCCCCGUGAAGCCGGAGUCGCUAGUAAUCGCGGAUCAGCAACGCCGCGGUGAAUACGUUCCCGGGCCUUGUA
RNAcentral lists this ribosomal RNA (426 nucleotides) under uncultured Actinomycetes bacterium. Its description in RNAcentral is "bacterial SSU rRNA". It matches the Rfam family "Bacterial small subunit ribosomal RNA", at positions 958 to 1385 of the family's 1533-position model. Lineage: Bacteria; Bacillati; Actinomycetota; Actinomycetes. The record is from RNAcentral.